GACGUAGGGCGCGAGCGUUGUCCGGAAUUAUUGGGCGUAAAGAGCUCGUAGGCGGCUUGUCGCGUCGACUGUGAAAACCCGCGGCUCAACUGCGGGCCUGCAGUCGAUACGGGCAGGCUAGAGUUCGGUAGGGGAGACUGGAAUUCCUGGUGUAGCGGUGAAAUGCGCAGAUAUCAGGAGGAACACCGAUGGCGAAGGCAGGUCUCUGGGCAUUAACUGACGCUGAGGAGCGAAAGCAUGGGGAGCGAACAGG
RNAcentral lists this ribosomal RNA (253 nucleotides) under uncultured bacterium. RNAcentral describes it as "partial 16S ribosomal RNA". It matches the Rfam family "Bacterial small subunit ribosomal RNA", at positions 524 to 776 of the family's 1533-position model. The record is from RNAcentral.